RNAcentral lists this non-coding RNA (30 nucleotides) under Mus musculus (house mouse). The record is from RNAcentral. Lineage: Eukaryota; Metazoa; Chordata; Mammalia; Rodentia; Muridae.
UCCCNGGGUUAUUGUUGCCUGAGCAUCAGU